AUCCAGCUGACGAGUCCACAUAGGACGAAACACGCUUCCUGGAA
This 44-nucleotide non-coding RNA is filed under the name Schistosoma mattheei. Lineage: Eukaryota; Metazoa; Platyhelminthes; Trematoda; Strigeidida; Schistosomatidae. The record is from RNAcentral.